AAUGAGUAGUGGGUAGCGAGGCCACAAGCAAUCAUUUCCACACCAUUAAGCUUAUCUCCUGUUAGGGCUAAGUAUUCCCCCAUGUAACCAGGUAGGUGAGAAAGAUAAUAAGAAGCGCCUGCAUCAGGAUGGAAACCCAUUUGAGUCUCAGGUUGAGCAAAGAUAGUUUUGUCAGUUACAACAGAAAACAUUCCUGGAAGUGAAAUUCCAGCCCCACAUCCCAUUGUGAUGCCAUCCAAGAUAGCCACAUGUGGCUUCAAAUAUGUUCCUUGUAGGUAGGCAAACUUAUAUAAUGUCUGAAAAAAGCUUUUGCACUCUUCAACUCUCCCUGCAUUAACUAGUUCACUGAGCCAAAUCAUAUCUCC
RNAcentral lists this unclassified non-coding RNA (365 nucleotides) under Hevea brasiliensis (rubber tree). Lineage: Eukaryota; Viridiplantae; Streptophyta; Magnoliopsida; Malpighiales; Euphorbiaceae. The record is from RNAcentral.